GUCCGGCUGUGCGAGCACCCCUAAUCCAUGACUCUCUCGCCCACGCCCCCACCCCAUUCGCAACACACAUCCGAGUAGUCCUCCUAGCCGCCGUCGUUUCAAACCCGGGAGGAAACCCUAGCCCCACACGCCAGCGCGGCCGCGAACCCCGGCCGAUCGGCGCCGAUGAGAGGCGGGAGGCGUGGGACGGGGAGAGUGCGGCGGGGAGGCGGCGCCGCCGCCGCCGCUCGGCCGCCGCGGGGCGAGCGCGCCGCCGGCGUCCAGGUCAUCGUACUCAGCGACGAUGAUGUGAAGUCAGCAACGCAGCAACCCACCGAAAGGAGAAAUUGCGGAGGAAUGCGCGGCAGAUGAUUUCAACGCGCUCCCAUGUGAUUCCACCAAGGAAGUUUCCACAAAGAACCUGGGACGUCUUAGAAAGCGAACAGCUGCUGGCGGUGCUGCAACUUCUGAGUUGCAUGAGGAUGAGCUAAAGGUUGCUGAUGUCAAGCUGAGCAAUGAUGAAGGUAUGUGUGUUGGGAGGAACACUGAUAUCUCUCCGAGUUUUUGUGUUGCUUAUUUUGUUAAUGGUCACCAGUGUGUGGCACAAGGAGACGGAAUGUUCCAUCCUCCCAUCCUUCUAAGCAUGCAGAAGUGGCACACGGAGAUGGAAUGUUCCAUCCUCCCAGCAUCAUGGUGUUGCAGUGGCGUGUGUUUGUACCGGGUGCUUGAUGAUCGGUGCUUUAUAUAUAAAGUGUGGCGAAAGCCUUUUUCGGUAAAUUAGAGUAAUUUAUGUCUUCUUUACCAUAUUCAGGACAGAGAGAACACCAAGAGUUAAGUUUAUGCAAUUAAUUUGUUCGUUGAGGUGUUGGAUUGGGAGUUUUAAGUAAGUUAUAAAAGAGACACGUGAGGUGGAGAUACUAUACCUAACAUGAGAUAUUUCUCAACAAGUAAUUUUAUUUCUUAAUGUCUAAGCUUCAUUACUUCGUAUUUUUUAUCCGUCGCCGCUUUGGCGACGACGUCCCCGCCGCUGGGCAGGAAGAGUGUUUCCACGCCUUCAACCUCCAUGUCCACGAUGUCGUACUCGAUGCCCACCUGCAAGCUACAUGUCUUGGAGGGAAGUUGCGACUUGAGGGAGUGAGCUCCCAUUCUCUCAAUUUCUUGGCGUGGCCAUGCUUGCAGUACUGAUAAGACAUGCUUCAAAAAUGGAGGAGGGAGGACGUGAGCUGCUACCUUGGUUCCUGUCCGCACCAGCUGCCACAAUUGGGCAUCAAAGUAGACGACAAAGGAUGACAACCGAUUAAGUUCUGCACCUUAAUCCACUUACAACUUAUAAGUUGAUUGAUACUUUUCAUUUUAUAUUGAUGUGCUUCCAACGAGAACAAUUUUUUCACCGGAUGUGUUUCAUUACAUAUGCCAUUUUAUUUGUGUGAAGUCUUUCAGACUUUCUUUUGAUUCUUUAUUUUAACGGCCUGAAAAAGGAUUAUAAGUAAUGUUGGGUUCCCGACAGGACAAGGUAGGAAGAGAAGCAAAUCAUAACCUUUAGGUUCAUGGUCUAGGAGCAGGAAAGUACACGUCCAUCUUUGUGGUAUUCUCAUAUGAAUAAGCAUAAUACUACGUACAGAAUCUCUCAAUUGUGUAGACAGGUCAUCAAGUAAUGGUUAGUAAUUCAUAAUUCUGCUUCACCUUUAUGUUAAUGAUCCGCUUUUAAGUGUGUUGCCAAAGUGAGCAUCAAAUUGCAGGAAUCUCAAUCUUUUUUCUAUAUUUCUCGCAAGGCUCUUGUACGGUAGAUAUUUUUGCUUGGUCAUAAAUGAAUUAGUCCCAUGCUCUGACAGUAAGAUAAUGGAGCUAGGUGGACGAACAUUGGCAUUGAUGCCAAGAUUAUCUGACAUCUUGCUGUAGUAGUGUCUUAACUGGAUAUGUUUAUAGUUCUAAAAUCAAUGUUCAUCAGCAUCCAGCCUUCUAACUAAAAAGUAUUUUCGCAAGGGCUUGUCUGCACCGGUACGCUCUCUCGCUGGUACGCGAUUUGAGGCAUAGGAGCGAGGGGCACGUUGCAAGGUCGUCUUCGGUCACGGCUACAACUUAUGACGAGAAGGGGAUAUAUGCUUAGUAGGCUGCCCUGUGGUUAGCAAGUCAUUGUCGCAGUCUCCGCCUCCCAGGUUGCCUCGGCUUGCUGUUGGUGUGUGUUGCUGCAACAGCCCCUUCCGGCCACCUCUGAGGUUGGGCAAUGUGGCCACUGAUGUCAAGGGCGUCGCCAUCUUACUUGCAAGGCACAAAUUGCACCGCACGCAACAUCUUGCUAUGCAUGGCCACUGAUGCCAAAGAGAACCAAGUGCCUUGACGUACUAUAUAAAGAGAUCAUGUGAAAACAAAGCUGAAGUUCUUGAUCAGGAUGAGAAGGAAAGUGGUCUUCGAGCAACACUAAUCCUGGGUCAUACAUUUGGUCACAUAAUAUCUUCGAGCAUUGUUGUUUUUAUGUUGAGUUUAUCUGUCUUGCAUUACGAUGGUCCAUGUAAACAUAUUUGGAUGAAUUGACAGCCCAGUAAGAAGUUUGCUUUAUUUU
Molecule: long non-coding RNA, 2539 nt
Organism: Triticum aestivum (bread wheat)
Lineage: Eukaryota; Viridiplantae; Streptophyta; Magnoliopsida; Poales; Poaceae
Exons: 6
Source: RefSeq, a predicted model, not a curated record